Molecule: ribosomal RNA, 913 nt
Filed under: uncultured archaeon
Lineage: Archaea
Description: bacterial SSU rRNA
Rfam family: Archaeal small subunit ribosomal RNA
Source: RNAcentral
UUCCGGUUGAUCCUGCCGGAGGCGACCGCUUUUGGAGUUCGAUUAAGCCAUGCGAGUAGAAAGAAAUUAGAUUCUGUGCGAACUGCUCAGUAACACGUGGAUAACCUGCCCUAUGCUCCGGAAUAACCUCGGGAAACUGAGAAUAAUACCGGAUAGAUCACAACGCCUGGAACGGUGUGUGGUUGAAAGAUUACGGCAUAGGAUGGGUCUGCGGCGUAUCAGGUUGUAGGGGGUGUAAAGGACCUCCUAGCCAUCGACGCGUACGGGUGUUGGGAGACAUAGCCCGGAGAUGGAUUCUGAGACACGAAUCCAGACCCUACGGGGUGCAGCAGGCGCGAAAACUUCACACUGCAGGAAACUGUGAUGAGGGAACUCCAAGUGCACGCACUUAGUGUGUGCUUUUUUCAACUAUUAAUCGGUUGAAGAAUAAGGGCUGGGAAAGACCGGUGCCAGCCGCCGCGGUAAUACCGGCAGCUCAAGUGGUCGUCGCUUUUAUUGGGCCUAAAACGUCCGUAGCCUGUUUGGUAAAUCUGUGGGUAAAUCAACCAGCUUAACUGGUUGAAUUCUGCAGAGACUGCCAGACUAGGGACCGGGAGAGGUGUGGGGUACUCUAGGGGUAGGGGUAAAAUCCUGUCAUCCUUAGAGGACCACCAGUUGCGAAGGCGCCACACUGGAACGGAUCCGACGGUCAGGGACGAAGCCUAGGGGCACGAACCGGAUUAGAUACCCGGGUAGUCCUAGGUGUAAACGCUGUGAACUUGGUGUCGGGGAUCCGUCAUGGGUCCCCGGUGCCGGAGUGAAGAUGUUAAGUUCACUGCCUGGGGAGUACGGUCGCAAGGCUGAAACUUAAAGGAAUUGGCGGGGGAGCACUGCAACGGGAGGAGCGUGCGGUUUAAUUGGAUUCAACGCCGGA